RNAcentral lists this ribosomal RNA (253 nucleotides) under uncultured bacterium. RNAcentral describes it as "partial 16S ribosomal RNA". It matches the Rfam family "Bacterial small subunit ribosomal RNA", at positions 524 to 776 of the family's 1533-position model. The record is from RNAcentral.
UACAGAGGUGCCGAGCGUUAGGCGGAAUCACUGGGCUUAAAGCGUGUGUAGGCGGAUGCCUAAGUACCUUGUGAAAUCCCACGGCUUAACCGUGGAACUGCUCGGUAUACUGGGUGUCUUGAGCCACUUAGGGGUUACCGGAACAAAUGGUGGAGCGGUGAAAUGCGUAGAUAUCAUUUGGAACGCCAAUGGUGAAAACAGGUAACUGGGAGUGUGCUGACGCUGAGACACGAAAGCCAGGGGAGCGAACGGG